RNA transcript from Salvia miltiorrhiza (redroot sage), 5124 nucleotides. It is a transcript of the gene named squamosa promoter-binding-like protein 14, with no coding region annotated. The record is from RefSeq and is a predicted model, not a curated record. NCBI's taxonomy places the organism in Eukaryota, Viridiplantae, Streptophyta, Magnoliopsida, Lamiales, Lamiaceae. The transcript is spliced from 14 exons.
GAACAAGAAGAAGAAAGGGAAUAGGUAAAAUAUGUGAGUGAGUGUGUGUGUGUGAGAGAGAGAGAGAGAGAGAAAAGUUGGUUGAGAGAAAGGAAAGGGAAGGAGAGAGAAAAGUAAAAGAUAGUUGUAUUGUACAUAGGCAUGAAAUAUAGAAACAGUUUUUGUGUCCUUUCAUUUCGUUUCUUAUUCCACAUCCUUUGUUUCUUCUCUGUCUAUUUUCUAUAUUUGUGCAGCAGAUCUCUCCUUUGUGUAAUCCGUAAUUCUUGCCAGCAGUUUCCGGAAUUACUCAAUUAGAUCAUGUUUCGCCGCUGAAACCCAGCCAAAAUUUGGAAGAAGGGCUGCUGACUGAGGAGCUGGAAUAUGUGAAUUAGUUUCAAGGUUGUGAAUGUGAAGGGGAAAAUCAGACUCGACCUUUCCGCAGAUGAAUUCAGUUAGCCCAUAAAGUGAGACUUCGAAGAUCGUUGCUUGAUUACUUAGAAGAGGUUUGACUUUAGCAAGAACAUGGUUAAGGUUCAAGGAAGAAAAUCCAAGGUGUUUCUGUAGUUUUUGGGGUUGUACAAAGUUUUUAUCUUUGAGAGAUGGAAGAGGUAGGUGCCCGGAUAGUUGCUCCUACAGUCAUCCACCAGCAUCUGACUGCGAGAUUUUGUGAUCCAUAUCCGAUGGCUAAAAAACGCGCUCUGCCCUUUGACUCAUCGAGCUUUCUGCCACAGAAUACUGCAGAAAGUUGGAACCCCAAGUCCUGGAACUGGGAUAGUGCCAGGUUUGUCGCCAAACCAUUGCAACGCAAUGGAGGCCAAGUGGGGGGUGGCGAAGAGAUUCAGCCAGCCGUGCCAAGAAGAAAACAAGUGCUGAGUAGUGCUUCAUAUUCUAGGACUCCUGCAGUUUCUGGAGAAGUAGAUGAUAAUCUCGUACUGAAUCUUAGAGGUGGAGAUGGAGCUCGUAGUAGUGGUAAUACUGGUGGUGUCAAUUUGGUGGAGCCACAAACUGUAUCAAGGCCCAAUAAGAAAGUAAGAUCGGGAUCACCUGGUGGUACUAACUAUCCCAUGUGUCAAGUGGAUAAUUGCAAGGAAGAUCUGUCUACUGCUAAGGACUAUCACCGCCGGCAUAAGGUGUGUGAGGUUCACAGCAAAGCUGGCAAGGCCUUAAUCGGGAAUCAGAUGCAAAGGUUCUGCCAGCAAUGCAGCAGGUUCCACCCUCUUUCAGAAUUUGACGAGGGAAAGAGAAGUUGUAGGCGUAGGCUUGCUGGACAUAAUAGGAGGAGGAGGAAAACUCAGCCAGAAGAUACUACUCAACGGUUAUUAACUCCUGUUAUUGGUGAUAGCAAUGUCGGUGAUAAUGAUGUUCUGAAUUUACUGGCGGUGCUAACUAGUGCACAAGGGAACAUUGUGGACAGGAAUGAUAAAUUCCCAUUGAUACCCAACAAAGAUCAGCUCAUACAGAUACUGAGUAAAAUAAAUUCAUUGCAAUUGCCAGCAAACUUGGCAGCCAAGUUGAAUGGCAUUAACUCAAAUCAUAUAUCCUUGGAAAAUCAGAACCAGAUAAAUGGGAAUGCUUCUUCCGCAUCAACCAUGAACUUGCUUGCUGCUCUUUCAGCAACUGCAAGGGCACCUUCAUCUGAUGUAUUUGAAACUCAAUCUCAACCGAGCACUGAAGGAAGUGACUCUGAAAAAAGCAAGUCACCAUGUCCUGAAAAGCAUGGUGGAUCAACAAUGGAAUUUCAGGAGACCUCGCCAAGUGUGCCUCUUAAGCUGUUUAGUCCCUCACCUGAAGAUUAUAGGCCAAAAAAAUCGCCACCGGACAGAAAUUUUCUUUCAUCUGGCAGCAGUUAUCCUUCAGAUGAGACAUCACCUCUAUCUACGCCACCUGUUGUACAUGAUCUAUUCCCGAUGCAGACUUCAAGAGACACAGAUAAGAAUGACCAUCUGUCAAAUAGUGAAGGUGAAAUUGCCACGAUCAACGGGUGCAGUACAUCUCUUCAGCUUUUUGGAGUAUCGAUCAGUGGUACUGAAGAUGUUCCAGCUCAUACAUCUCCAUACAGAGCUGGAUAUACAUCUUCUUCCGCGUCUGAUCAUUCCAGCCAAAAUUCUGAUGCUCAGGAUCGUACUGGUAGAAUAAUUUUCAAAUUGUUUGACAAAGAUCCAAGCCAUAUGCCUGGGUCACUGCGGGACCAGAUAUACAAUUGGCUCUCUAACAGUCCAUCAGAAAUGGAAAGUUAUAUCAGGCCUGGUUGUAUUGUUCUAUCCCUUUAUUUAUCGAUGCCAUCAUUUGCCUGGGAUCAACUUGAAGAUAACCUUCUUAAUUAUGUGAAGUCUUUAGUCAAAGAUAUUGAUAUAGACUUCUGGGGGAAUGGGAGAUUUUUGAUUCAUACAGACAGACAAAUGGUUUCACAUAAAGAGGGGAAGAUUCGUCUAUGCAAAUCAUUGAGGGCCUGGAGUACACCAGAACUCAUCUCAGUGUCCCCUGUGGCAGUUGUUGGUGGGCAACAGACCACUCUUCUUUUGAGGGGAAGAAGUUUGAAGGCUCCAGGCACACGGAUACACUGCACGCAAGCAGUUGGAUAUAAUAUAAGGGAAGUUCAUUCAUCAUUGUGCCACAAGACUCCAUACGAUGAGAUUAUCUUGGCUGAUUUUAAGGUCAAUGGAGCAGCAUCUAAUGUGCUCGGGCGCUGUUUCAUUGAGGUCGAAAAUAGUCUCAGAGGGUCAAAUUUUCCAAUAAUUAUAGCAAAUAGCACCAUCUGCCAAGAAUUGAGACUCCUUGAGCCCGAGAUAAAUGGAACCUCUGAUAUAUGCAGUGAUAGUUCAACUGAUAAUAUUGAGAAAACAGCAUGGGUCCGAUCCAGGGAAGAAUCCCUGCAUUUUCUGGAUGAACUCGGAUGGUUGUUCCAAAGAAAAUAUAACUCAUGCUUGUUUGAGAUCCCAGAUUAUAGGCUCACUCGGUUCAAAUUUCUUCUUGUAUUUUCCGUCGAGCAUGACUUUUGUGCAUUGGUCAAAGCCCUCCUGGACAUUCUGCUAGAACUUAACUCCGGUAGAGAAGGAUUAGAAAAAGAAUCUCUGGAGUUGUUAUCAGAAAUUCACCUCUUGAACCGGGCUGUCAGAAGGAGUUGUGCCAGCAUGGUUGAUUUUCUCAUUCAUUACUCCAUCGUAGAUUCUAGUGGUACAUCUGAGAGGUUCAUUUUCGUUCCAAACAUGGCUGGGCCUGGUGGUCUCACACCUUUACAUUUGGCUGCUUCGGCAUCAUCAUCAGAUGAUAUCGUUGAUCUACUGACAAGCGAUCGACAGGAGGUUGGGCUGCAUAGUUGGAAUUCUGUUCUUGAUGCAAAUGGGCUUUCUCCUCAUGCAUAUGCCCUGAUGAGGAAUAACCAUUCGUACAACGCACUUGUUGCUCAGAAGCUUGCAGAUAAGAGCAAUGGUCAAGUCUCUGUAACAAUCGAGGAUGACAUAAAACACUUCCAGGUUGAGAUGGAUAAGGAAGGAAAUACUAAAUCGCACCUCAAUCGAGGUCAACAAUCUUGUUCCAGGUGUGCAUAUGGAUACAGCAAGAGGAUUCCAGGUUCCAAAGGAUUGCUGCAGCGUCCAUAUAUACACUCAAUGCUCGUCGUUGCUGCUGUUUGUGUUUGUGUGUGUUUGUUCUUAAGAGGACACCCCUUUGUUGGUCGUGUUUCUCCGUUUUCAUGGGAGAACCUGGAGUACGGCACAAUUUAACUACUGCAUCGACAGUGUUUAAUAAAUUCUGCAAACAAGGAGAAGUGUGUAUUAGAAGGCAUGAAUAACUCACUUGAGGAUGACAAUCAAUUGGUGGCAGCACAUCUGUUCAUCAAGUUCUUUGCUGACCAAGACGAAAGCGUGAUAUCUCCUAACCUGUUACAUGAAUUUUCUGAUAUCAGAGAGUGAAAAGCUUCAGCGCAAUAGCUAGAUUUCCCAGAGUUAAAUCCUUCAUCAAUCCAUUGAGUUCGAAGACUAAUAUGGAUCACUUUGAACGUACAAGAGUGGUGUGAUAUUCAUAACCUACUUCAAGGAGCAUAUUGGUUGAAUUUGAUACAAGGAGUCUGAAGCAUUGCAAGACUAUAUCCACUAAGCAGUUGCAGAGGCCAUUAUGAUGAGCAUGAGCAGAGAAGAGGAGAUAAUUAUACAUACAUUUGUUGCAGCAGGCAAAGAAUUGAGGGCUUCUCCCAUGCCUUCUCCGAGGCCUUCGAUGAGGCCUCCGAUGAACUCUAUGACGACCUGGGACGCCAGACGAGCUGCAGUCCCGAGGGCGCUGGGCCUCUCGGGCGGGGGUAUGCCGUUGGCUUCAAGGCCAUUGAUGAAAACCUUGGCACACACCGCAUGAAGAUGGUAUUCACACACCGUGCAGCGGUACAUUCUGCCCGAUCUCUUCUUGUUGCACUGCCCGCAGGCAGCCCCGUUGGCCGUGCCCGCCGCGGGCAGCAGCCUCAGCAUGUGCGGAUGAGCCGGGUAUUGCACCUCGGUGGUCAGCAUGGCGCAGCAAGGGUGCAUCUGGAAACUGCAAGCCCUGCACCGGAAGGCGAAGCCUCUGCUGGACUUGGCGCAGACGUCGCACCUCGGCCACGAGAUCCCGCCUUUUGCUGCAUCGUAUAAGGUGAGCUUGUGGUGAAAGGAUGGGGCCGGAGCCGGGGUUUGAGUUUUACGUACCCGACUUAGGUUUAGCAUGGAAGAUGAGCUGAUGCUGGCCGUGGAGAGGGUGGUUGUUCAACACAGGGGGGGAGGCGGCGCAGAAGUCGUGCAGCUGGAAGUCGCACUGCUGGCAGGCGAAUCUCCGGCCGGCCCCGUACUCCUUGCAUCCGCCGCAGGUGAAGAGCUCCGUGAGAGUGACUUGUACCAAUGGGUGCUUCGAGUGGGCGUAAUGCGUCAUCCCUUCUCCGGCAGCUGACUGCGGCGACGUCGGGAACUCCACCGGGGAGGAGGAAGGGAGAGAUGUUUGAGAUUUCAGGGAUGUUUUUCUUCUCAUUGUGUGUGUGUGUGUGUGUGUGUUGGAUAUGGCAGUGGGAGAAUAUUAUUUAUGCUGCGAAAAAAACAUCAAGUGCUUGCUUUAUCAAACAGGAGAAUGAGAAUGUAGUAUGAGAAUACUGCCUUUUGAAAAAUGAAAAUACAAAUGUUUUACGUAAUA